GGGCUGCCUCCCGUUGGGUCCCCAGACCUGUCCGCAGGGAAGGGGGUCAGGGCCAGGGAGCAAGCCCGGGCGGGGCGAGGCCUCAGCAGCCCCCCGGCGGCCAGGUGGGCCGGCAGCCCCGGGCAGGGCCGCAGCGUCCCCCGCGCAGGGCGUCCCGGCUGCGGCUGCGACCGGUGCACGGAGAGCCAGGCGGGUCCUGGGGCCUGGGCAGAGGCGCACAGCCCCCACCCAUGCCCGGGGCGCUGAUUCCGGGAGGGGCGUGGCCCCUGGACACUGCGCCCCGCCCCUGGAUGUCUGGGGAGGGACAGAUUCGGGCCAAGGGCAGAGUCAGGGCAGGGCUGUCCCGGAAACUCAGGGCGGAGUGGACACGAAGAGCCGUGAUUGGGACCCGACGUGGCCGAGAGCCCUGAAGCCCAGAGACGGCGAGCUCCCCGGAGGCCACACGGAGCCGCGAGGGUACUGCCCGCCCGUGGGCGGGGAGAGGGCGUGGCCGGAUGUAGUGGGUGUGGCCAUGGGCGGGGCUGCGGGCGGGAUGGAGACGGUGGGCGGGGCCAUGGGACCGUAACUCUGGCGCUCAGCAGGUCCCGCCCCGCCCGCCUUGGGGGCCGCUGCGGCUGGGGGCGGCCUGGUUCCUCCGCUGCCCGCAGGCCCGCCUCCCGCAGUGACCAGCAGAUGGUGCCAGAGGCCGGCCGAUGCCUGGGCCUUGUCUGCCGCCAAGAGGGAGGGGGGCUGGGGGCGCUGCCAAGAGUGCCAGCCCCCCAGGUGUCCCCCAGGGUCAGCUCCCUAGAACCAAGACAACACAUUUCCGGGGUAUGUUGUCCUGCGAUACAAGCAGCCACAGGAGCGGAGCACAGCCGAGCCCCUGUAGCCCCCCUUGGCUGAGACUCCCGACCGCGGUGUCUCUCGGAGGAGCUGCUGGCCCCGUUCCCACCUGUGGCCCCCGUCGCCCUGGGGCCUCCCACGUCUGGCCUGUGAGGGGCUGCAGGCUCCCUGCGGACUCCCCAGCGCCCCCUCCGGGCUCCAGACUCCGGGCAUCCCUCGCGGGGCCUGGAGGUGGGAGCUGAGAGGACAGGCUCCUGGCCUCCCGGGGGUCCCGAGGCUCUGACGUGAGCCCGCGUCCCCACAGCCGCAUCCACGUGGCUGGCCUUGGAUGCAGGGCUGCCUUGAGAUGGGAAUUCCUUCAGGAAGCCUCAGCCACCCACAGGAGCGCCCACAGCGGGUCAGGCCCUGCGGCCCAGCCCUCAGCCAACCCCCCCAGCCCAGCCCUGCUUCCUGCUGACAGAUUAGCGACUCCUCUGUGGGGACUGCUCCAAGUGCUGCUGGGCUUUCAGAUGUAAAUGCAGUGGAGCAGGUCUGCGAGUCACUGAGUUCUAACACGUUAGAAAACACGGUGUUCCCGUUGGCGUCCGAUGCACAAAAUGAACUUUUAUCAUCAAUGUCAGAGUUGACUGAUGUGAAUAAAUCGAAGGCUUGCCUCUGAGUGGCA
RNAcentral lists this long non-coding RNA (1486 nucleotides) under Vulpes vulpes (red fox). Its description in RNAcentral is "lncRNA (ENSVVUG00000011381.1)". Lineage: Eukaryota; Metazoa; Chordata; Mammalia; Carnivora; Canidae. The record is from RNAcentral.